GUAAGCAUCAUCAGCCUUCCCAGCGUUUCCAAGCCCCUUAAUUCACCCUGGGUAGGUAAAUACAGUCGAAGUGUAACCCUUACUACUCAUCCCCAGGAUCAAAUCCAAAGGUCUCUCAACCUUCGCUGACACCGAAGAUUUGAUUUCAUUUGCUCACUGAAGAAGCAUAAAAUAUGAAAGCUACCUGUUUGUUUAACUCUCUCACAGAGAUGAGUAAAAGUUGAUACUGAUGCUUUGAAGCAAUAGAUUUCAAAACCGUCUUUCCCAUUUGCCUAAAACUCUUUGCAUAGAAAAUUUGGGAUUACUUCGUCAAUUCCAAGAGAAGACUAUCUGACGUCACCUUCCAACAACACCUGAGAGAACCAAAGACCAUUAAACGAAGGUAUCCUAUACAAUUCCCCCAAAAUUUGCAAGAGCUAAACUUUAAAAGGAAAAGACUCAUGGCUCUGGUAACAAAGUUGUUGAAUUAUUCCCAUGUACCCACAAUCACUAGGAUUGCAAUGACAGAAGGCCAAAAGAUUCCUACA
RNAcentral lists this unclassified non-coding RNA (527 nucleotides) under Hevea brasiliensis (rubber tree). Lineage: Eukaryota; Viridiplantae; Streptophyta; Magnoliopsida; Malpighiales; Euphorbiaceae. The record is from RNAcentral.